RNAcentral lists this ribosomal RNA (864 nucleotides) under Fergusobia rileyi. RNAcentral describes it as "eukaryotic LSU rRNA". It matches the Rfam family "Eukaryotic large subunit ribosomal RNA", at positions 378 to 944 of the family's 3401-position model. The record is from RNAcentral. Lineage: Eukaryota; Metazoa; Nematoda; Chromadorea; Rhabditida; Neotylenchidae.
GAAGAGAGAGUUAAAGAGCACGUGAAAUCGGUAAGGUGGAAACGGAUAGAGUUGACGUAUAUGGCUUGUAUUCAAUCGUUGGAUUAUGCGUAACAAUGGGUUGUUUUGUGUUGGCCGGCGUAACAUACAUUGUUUUCGGAUGAUGUUUAUGUUGGGCUGGUUCGGCGCGCAGUCCAUUGGUGUUUAUGUUUUUCAGCGGUGCAUUUACGAGUCAAUGUGCGCUGGGACAUGCGCGUUUCGGUUGUCGAAGGAGUUUGGCGCAAGAGGUUACUUUUUUUUAGUAUUUUAAAUUAAUUUUUAAGAUACAAAGGGUAAAACCGUGCGCCUUUUCGUAGGCGAUUCGUCGUGCAUGUAGUACUAAGUUUUUUGGUUUUUAAAGGAUGGCAUUUUAUCAUGAAUGCGAACGUUUAAAUUUAAUUGUAUUUGUUGGUUAUGCGAGUCGCAUGCGACGCGUAUAAUUAAAUUUUUUAAAUAAAUACGAUUAUUUAAACGUUUCCCACUUUCCUUUAUCCCGGUGUAAAAGUCAAUCAUCUAUCCGACCCGUCUUGAAACACGGACCAAGGAGUUUAACGUAUACGCGAGUCAUUGGGUGUUGAAAACCUAAAGGCGUAAUGAAAGUGAAAUGUAUUCAUUGAAAUACGAAUAUGCGAUCCCAUAAAUUUCGAUUUAAGGGCGCAGCAUAGCCCCGUUUUUGUCGCAUGCGAUGGAGCGGAGGAAGAGCGUAUGCGUUGAGACCCGAAAGAUGGUGAACUAUGCCUGAGCAGGACGAAGCCAGAGGAAACUCUGGUGGAAGUCCGAAUCGGUUCUGACGUGCAAAUCGAUCGUCUGACUUGGGUAUAGGGGCGAAAGACUAAUCGAACUAUC